Molecule: ribosomal RNA, 161 nt
Filed under: Auxenochlorella protothecoides
Lineage: Eukaryota; Viridiplantae; Chlorophyta; Trebouxiophyceae; Chlorellales; Chlorellaceae
Also listed under: 1 other name
Description: 5.8S ribosomal RNA
Rfam family: 5.8S ribosomal RNA
About the family: 5.8S ribosomal RNA (5.8S rRNA) is a component of the large subunit of the eukaryotic ribosome. It is transcribed by RNA polymerase I as part of the 45S precursor that also contains 18S and 28S rRNA.
Source: RNAcentral
CAACUCUCAACAACGGAUAUCUUGGCUCCCGUAUCGACGAAGAACGCAGCGAAAUGCGAUACGUAGUGUGAAUUGCAGAAUUCCGUGAACCAUCGAAUCUUUGAACGCAACUUGCGCCCGAGGUCCUAGACCGAGGGCAUGUCUGCCUCAGCGUCGGCUUU